UCCGGUUUGUCACCGGCGGUCUCCUUAGAGUUCCCACCAUUACGUGCUGGCAACUAAGGACAAGGGUUGCGCUCGUUGCGGGACUUAACCCAACAUCUCACGACACGAGCUGACGACAGCCGUGCAGCACCUGUGUUCUGGUUCCCGAAGGCACCCCUCGAUCUCUAAAGGGUUCCGUGGAUGUCAAGGCCAGGUAAGGUUCUUCGCGUUGCAUCGAAUUAAACCACAUGCUCCACCGCUUGUGCGGACCCCCGCCAAUUCCUUUGAGUUUCAAUCUUGCGAUCGUACUUCCCAGGUGGGAUACUUAAUGCUUUCGCUCAGACACACACAGUGUAUCGCGUAUGUCGAGUAUCCAUCGUUUAGGGCGUGGACUAC
Molecule: unclassified non-coding RNA, 375 nt
Filed under: uncultured bacterium
Lineage: Bacteria
Description: contains 16S-23S intergenic spacer region
Source: RNAcentral